This 760-nucleotide ribosomal RNA is filed under the name Macrobrachium latimanus. RNAcentral describes it as "eukaryotic LSU rRNA". It matches the Rfam family "Eukaryotic large subunit ribosomal RNA", at positions 1 to 653 of the family's 3401-position model. The record is from RNAcentral. Lineage: Eukaryota; Metazoa; Arthropoda; Malacostraca; Decapoda; Palaemonidae.
UAUCCCGGGUUUUUUCAACAGUAAUAGCGGAGGAAGAGCCACCGGGAUUCCCUGAGUAAGGGCGACUGAAAGGGGAUGAGCCCAGCGCAUAACCUCGCGGUCGUGUUGUGGCCGUCGAGGGGUGUUGCGUUUCGGUGGAUCCGUACCGCUCGAGUUGCUGACCGCCUAAGUCAUUGCUUGAAUGCAGCCCCGAGGAGGGUGGUAGGCCCGUGUGGCGGCGCCUGUAAAAAGGUCCGAGGCAACUUGGGCGGAGGGGUCUUUACCGUAGAGUCGGGUUGCUUAGUACUGCAGCCCUAAGUAGGUGGUAAACUCCAUCUAAGGCUAAAUACUACCACGAGUCCGAUAUUUGACAAGUACCGUGAGGGAAAGCUGAAAAGGACUCUGAAGAGAGAGUUCAAGAGGACGUGAAACCAUUAGAAGCUGAAACGGGUGGAACCGUGAAGGUGGAAAGAGGGGAUUCAGGCUGUGGGCGCGCGGUGGGGCGCUAGGUUGGCUAUUGGUACAGGACCCGGCGUACGAAUGAGUUGCCGCGGCCCCUGUCGCCUUUAGCCGCGGGCCGGCGGGCUUAGUUCUCCCUCGAGUACGAGUCGUGGCAUUCCGCUAGCCGGACCCCGAAGGCUCACGCGGACUGGUAGCCCGCACCUCGCGUGCGGGUGAUGACCGUGCGGAGUACUGGCUGGGUUUGGGCGGCGGUCACUGCAAGGAGGCGGCAGCUCCUGCCGCCUCUCGCCAUGGAGAGGGCGGAAUCCACCUGAUCGUC